RNAcentral lists this transfer RNA (73 nucleotides) under Phycisphaerae bacterium. RNAcentral describes it as "tRNA-Ala". It matches the Rfam family "tRNA". Rfam says of the family: Transfer RNA (tRNA) molecules are approximately 80 nucleotides in length. Their secondary structure includes four short double-helical elements and three loops (D, anti-codon, and T loops). The record is from RNAcentral. Lineage: Bacteria; Pseudomonadati; Planctomycetota; Phycisphaerae. RNAcentral also lists the same sequence under 3 other names.
GGGGCAUUAGCUCAAUUGGGAGAGCGCUGCCUUUGCAAGGCAGAGGUUAUCGGUUCGAGCCCGAUAUGCUCCA